GGUCAGUCUACAGCAGCAGUAUCCUCAGUUUCUGCUGGAAAUUUCCCGGUUUGCAGCCCCAUAGAGACAGGUUCUCUCCUGCUAGUUAAUAAAACCGGUAGGCCAGCCAGCUUCCUUCUGGUUGCCACGGAAACCACCAGGCCACUGGCCCUCUGCAAACGGAAAAGAACAGCGAGUAAGAGACCACGAGACCACACAUUCCACCCUGGCUCGCAGAUUAAACCAGCUGUCAAGCCGGGGUGAAGGAGCAGAGGCCAGGGAAGAGCCCCGGGGCUGCGGACUGGACAGGCAAGGCCCUGCGGUGGAGCCGCAAGAUGUUGCUCCAGGGAGAAACUUGAAGGCUUUGUUCAUUGCCAGAGUCGCCGUGUUCAGAGGAAGAAGAGACAUGAAAAUGUAGAGAUCAAUCACCUUGACUAAAAUUAUUCACUGCAAAUUGAAGAACCAGUGUGCAGCUUACAGUGGCGCAGUACCUGUGCUCUCCCACUACAGCAUGCUUUCUAGAAGAAUCCGAAGACUAUAGGCUGUGGAGAUCAUUGGCGCCUGUGUUAGAGCACUCACAAGUCAUAAUACCACAGAACAUUCCAGACUCUCUAAAAUGUACUCCUGGAACACACCUGAAGAAAAGUGCUAAAAACUCAAGAGGUCUUUCAAGAUCCUACACUAAGGCUUUGAGAGUGUCCAUGGAGCCUCUUGCCCACUGCCGCAUGAGCUUUCCCUGGGGAGACAUGAACCAAUGUCUACCCGCCCCAGGAGAGCACCAGUAACAGUCAGCACCAUCCCACCUCAGGCCAGCUCUGCUCACCAGCGAGCCUGCUGGCCUUGCUCACAGACAUCGUCGCAAAGACACAACUCUGAUUUCAAACGGGUAAGAGUUUACUCUGGAGCCAAAUAUUAGUGACAAUGGCCUGAGAACACAGAUUUAGGUUACCCCAAAUUCCAUGUUCCAGUGUGGUAACAGUUUGAUGAAGCUUUACAGCAACAAAACAGAGAUGGUCAUAAGUCAAGGCAGUUUUCAAAUUCCUUGAUGCAGACAUUCAAUCCUGGCGACAGCAAAGUGGGGAACUCUCUGCUACAGGCCUCAGAUGCUAUCUGCUGACAUUCUUAGCAUCUUGGUGGUGAAAAUUAGUGGUCUCUUAACACAUUCCAAAGGUUUUGUCUGCCAGUCACAGGAUGUUAGGUCAGAUGUGGACAAGAAAUCUACUGAGGAGGCUGAAAAUAGCCCAAGGUGAAUUGUCAUUGCACUCCAAGCCCACACACUCCAGGCUCUUCCCAGUCCCUGAUGUGCUCCUAGCACACCUGGGUGCGCCUCACUGCAAGCGCGGUAGGCCGUGGUGAAGGAGCUCUCCGUGACCUUUCUAAUCAGGUUAAUCAGCCACAUAGAGCACAGGCUCCUCGAAGUUCCAUAGAGGGACAGAAGAGACAGCAAGGCAUCACUGCAAACUUCCCCUCCAGCAUGCAGAAUGGUGCCAAAGCCGCACAGAUGUAGUGUUCCCUUUAGUUAGCCUUCCACACUCUAUACUCUAGCAUCUCCCAAGACUGUUAGAGCUCAAGCAGCUCAGGCAGAACCGUAUGCAGCUGGCCUGGAGGCGCAGGUGAGGUCUGAUGCCCUUCCCACCCAUUCCUUCAACGAAACAACAUCAAUGGGCCCAAACUUUAGGGGCUCAUUGCUGCUUCUGGUGAGGCUGGAAAUGGCUGCUCUGAUGAGACAGCAGUUAUCCAGCAGCAUGUGACAGCAUACUCAGCCUUUCUCCACAGCCCAGCAGAAAAGGGAGAUGCAUGGUUGUGGGCAAGCAGGAAACCAGCAGGCAGGUGAAGACUCAUUUUGAGAGCCGAAGGGCAGCGUCUUCAUCACACUCCCCAUAUGCUCCAUCAGACCCUUGCUAUUCCCCUAGUAGGGUCAAGGUGGGGUAAAGCAUAAAGUGCACAAAUAUUGGGCACAAAUAUUUUAGUUUUACUUCCAACCAAAAGCUGGUACUAAACACUGCCUAAGGAUGGAUUUUCAGCAUUGGGCACCUGGAAAGGAUAGGGGAGGGAUGCUUAAGAAAUUAAGAAGCAGGAACAGCAAGGGGUCUUACUUGUUCAUAGCAGCUUGUCAAUAGCUGGUCCUCAUUAGCAGCUUGGCUUACGUGCCCAUUCAACAAACUUCCCAGAGUCUUCUGUCUCAGAGAAUUGAGCUCUGCCCUUCUCUUAGCCACCUAUAACCAGGACACAUGGCUCUAGAAGUAGAGUUUCUAGUCAGGUUAUGUUGAGAUAUUAAGAGUGAACAGGCCAGUGGCUUCCAUUAUUUCCAUCUGGAUUCCCUUGCUUCCCAUACCACUGUUCCCUCUGAGGGAUUCAGGUGGGUGAAUCAGACACAUGCCCACAGGAGGAAGGAACCUUGUCUUCAGCCCCUUCUCCUCAACCCUGCUCUCUUGGGUCUGUUCACCCCUCAGGAAAUCCCAGGUAUGAAUAAAUAUAACUAGAGAGCCUGGAGCUAGGAUUCAGAAAACAGAACCAUGUAAACAUUGGAAACACACACACACACACACACACACACACACACACACACACACACACGCACACACAGGCUUCCUAGGGACAUAGCUCUUCCCUCGGUUCUGUCUUUACUGGAGCCUCAGCCACAUUCUUCAAACACAGAUCUCUCCUCUGCUACAAACCUUACUGGUCCACGUUCGCCUCUUCCAGAGAUGCUCCUUCAAGGGUGUGGAGACUGAGGAAGGUGCACAGGCCACGCCAGAGGGGUACAGCUGAAGAUAUGAGACCUUUCAUUUUCUUUUGUAUCUCAAAUUUUAAAAACUCUGUUCGUGUAUUAUUUACAAUGCAGAAAAUACAUGUACAGUCUUCACAAAUAAA
RNA transcript from Psammomys obesus (fat sand rat), 2853 nucleotides. It is a transcript of the gene named chromosome unknown C21orf62 homolog, with no coding region annotated. Lineage: Eukaryota; Metazoa; Chordata; Mammalia; Rodentia; Muridae. The record is from RefSeq and is a predicted model, not a curated record. The transcript is spliced from 5 exons.